GCUUAUGCGCGCCAUCCAGGGGUGGUUCCAUUCCCUCUUGGGCUAUGUGCAGGCAUCUUCUUCACGGAAGAAGAGCCUGCUAAGCAUUGUGCCAAAGACUUUCGAGUCAAUCGAUGGCCAAUGCAAAUGAAAGAUCGAAAACCUUCGAGUUUUCCCGGAUUCUUUUGAGACGGAUUGAUGCGUAUAUAUAUUUGUACGCUCAAUGCUCUUCUCAUC
RNAcentral lists this unclassified non-coding RNA (216 nucleotides) under uncultured soil eukaryote. RNAcentral describes it as "sequence contains ITS2". The record is from RNAcentral.